AAAUGCUCUGCUCUCUUCUCUUUUCCUUGCUGUCCCCGGGGCUAGAGGAGCACAGACCUUCCCAGGCACCGGCCCCGGCCUCCCUGGACUCCCGUCCCCGGCCCUGGGUUGAGCCCGGGGGGCCAGAAACGCAAGAGAGAAGUGUGGGGGAGAAGAAAGGGAGAGAAACGUAAGUGUUCAAGAGAUACAUUGACCAGUUGCCUCCCACACCCCCCCAGCGAGGGACCUGACCCCCAACCCAGGCACGUGCCCUGCCCGAGUAUUGCAUCGGCGACCUUCCAGCUUGCAGAACCCUGAAGAUGUUCGGAGUGAAACUGAUUUCUUGCCGCCAAGGAUGAGAACCACCGCCCAAGGCGUGAGGCGUCGGGCGACCUCCUGGGAGUCCGAGGCGGCGACCCCCUCGGAUCCCCGUUCCCUCCGCGGUAGAGGACGGAGGCCAUGCCACCCCCCCUCCCCCCGGUCGUGUCUCCUCCCCAGGCCUUCAUCCUCCUCCUCCUCUGCCGCGCGCACACUGUGCCCUCCUAGCUGCCUCACUUCCCUCCACUGGCACUGUCUCCGAUUCUGUUUUUCUUUCCCUUCCUCUCUGAUCCUCACUGCCUCUCCCCGCCCUUCCCCCUCCCUGCCCUCUCCGUGUGGCCGGCCCAGUGCCGGGCACUCAGAAGAUGACUCCCCUCCUUCUAAAAAAGCCGUCAGCUCUGGGGUCGUGGGUGAUCACACGCUUCCCGCUCUGCUUGAAAUGGCUUCGAAUCUGGGUCCCACUGCUCUGAAGACUUUGCACAACAGCAGGUCCCCGGGCGUGUGAGGUCUGGGAAGAGGCCCCUGGCACCCUGCGUGGGGAGGGGCAGCGGGAGUGGGGGAUGGGAGGACUUGUCGGUGUGCGCAUGGCGGGCGCGCAGGCGCGCCUUGCGCAGAAAGCGAGACUCGUUCUGCCCGCUUCCAGAGAUCUGGGCCCUGGAUUGUUUGGGGGGCUUCUUCCUCAGGCCUGCUGGGCUUGGCCAGACUUGGGACAACGGAAUUUCUCCUCCUGGGCCCCUUGAGACUCCAGCCUGAUAAACCCAUCGCUGACCUGGUUUGCUGCCUCUGCCUCGGAGAAGAGCACCACACCCGCUGCCUGCAGCCAGCGAAGACUCCACAGUUGUCCCUUGGUGCAACCCAGGCUUCUUGGCUUGACAUUCAAGGCUCUUUGCCUUCCCGUCCCGCCUUGCUUCUUGCCGCAAAGAUGGCGGCUGACUGUUCCCUUGUUCUGUCCCCGCUUCCUUGCCUUUGCUCAGGCUGGUUCCUCAGCGAGGCACGGCCCUUCCCCUGCAUGCUCUCCCGCCUGCGGCCCUGACUAAUGCAUCGUUCUGCAAUGUACCUAGCACCUGCCUCUUGUGCCCCUCCCCCCGUCCUGGGCACCCAGGGCACACCUCAUUCAUGCUCGUGCCCAGCGUGUGGAAGACCCUCAAUAAAACGUUAGUGAUUAAAUGA
This is a long non-coding RNA of Phyllostomus hastatus (greater spear-nosed bat), 1467 nucleotides long. RefSeq lists it as uncharacterized. The transcript has 3 exons. Lineage: Eukaryota; Metazoa; Chordata; Mammalia; Chiroptera; Phyllostomidae. The record is from RefSeq and is a predicted model, not a curated record.